Molecule: ribosomal RNA, 2980 nt
Filed under: human gut metagenome
Description: bacterial LSU rRNA
Rfam family: Bacterial large subunit ribosomal RNA
Source: RNAcentral
GCAAGAUACUAAGGGCGCACGGCGGAUGCCUUGGCAUCGGAAGUCGACGAAGGGCGCGGCAAGCUGCGAUAAGCCCCGGGGAGGCGCAAACGGCCUUCGAUCCGGGGGUGCCCGAAUGGGGAAACCCGCCUGGGGCCAUGCCCAGGCACCCCCGCCCGAAUGCAUAGGGCGGCGGGAGGCAACCGGGGGAACUGAAACAUCUAAGUACCCCGAGGAGGAGAAAUCAAACGAGAUUGCGCGAGUAGCGGCGAGCGAAAGCGCACCCAGCCCAAACCCGAGCAUGCGUUACAGCCCGAAGGCGCUGCUGCUCGGGGGUCGUGGGACCGCACCGCCCGGGGCUUCGGAGCCCGGGGCGCGGUGAAAAAGGGGCUGCUCAGCGGAACGGCAUGGGAAGGCCGGCGAGACAGGGUGAAGGCCCCGUACGCGAAGAGCAGACCCCCCGCGCGAUGCGGGUCCCGAGUAGCGCCGGACACGAGGAAUCCGGCGCGAAGCAGGGGGGACCGCCCUCCAAGGCUGAAUACUCUCCGAUGACCGAUAGCGAACCAGUACCGUGAGGGAAAGGUGAAAAGCACCCCGAGAGGGGAGUGAAACAGUACCUGAAACCGUGCGCCUACAAGCAGUCGGAGCGGACAUCCAUGUUCCGUGACGGCGUGCCUUUUGUAGAAUGAGCCUGCGAGUCGCGGCGCGCGGCGAGGUUAAGGAAGACCGAGCCGCAGCGAAAGCGAGUCUGAACAGGGCGUUCAGUCGCGCGCCGCGGACGCGAAGCCGGGUGAGCUAUCCAUGGGCAGGCUGAAGCGGGGGUAAGACCCCGUGGAGGGCCGAACCCACUUCGGUUGAAAACGGAGGGGAUGACCCGUGGAUAGGGGUGAAAGGCCAAUCAAACCCGGAGAUAUCUCGUUCUCCCCGAAAUAGCUUUAGGGCUAGCGUCGGGCGAUAUCGCGCGGAGGUAGAGCACUGGAAUCUCGAGGGGGCUUCACCGCCUACCGACAGAUACCAAACUCCGAAUGCCGCGCGAGGUACCCCGGCAGUCAGAGCAUGUGGGCUAAGCUGUGUGCUCGAGAGGGAAACAGCCCAGACCGCCCGCUAAGGCCCCCAAGUCCGUGCUGAGUGGCAAAGGAUGUGCGUUUGCCUAGACAACCAGGAUGUUGGCUUAGAAGCAGCCAUGCAUUUAAAGAGUGCGUAACAGCUCACUGGUCAAGUGGACAUGCGCCGACAAUUCACGGGGCUAAGCACGGCGCCGAAGCGGCGGACCGUAUAUAUACGAUGGUAGGGGAGCUUUCAGCGCAGGGCCGAAGCCGGAGGGGCGACCCCCGGUGGACCGCGCUGAAGUGAGGAUGCAGGCAUGAGUAGCGAGAGAGGGGCGAGAACCCCCUCCGCCGUAAGCCCGAGGUUUCCUGGGCGAGGCUAAUCCCCCCAGGGUCAGCCGGGAGCUAAGGCGAGGCCGGAAGGCGUAGCCGAUGCGCAGCGGGCGGACAUUCCCGCGCCGCCGCGCGCCGCUAUCGACCGACGGGGCGACGGAGAAGGGUAGCCGGGCGGGGUUCUGGACGUCCCCGUGAAAGCGCGUAGGGAGGAGCAUAGGCAAAUCCGUGCUCCACGCAUCCUGAGACGCGAGACGAAGCUUCGAGCGAAGCCGGCGAGCCCAUGCUCCCUAGAAAAACCCCUAGGCAGGCGACGCGGCGCCCGUACCGAAAACCGACACAGGUGGGCGGGUAGAGGAUACCGAGGCGAUCGGGGGAACCAUGGUCAAGGAACUCGGCAUAAUGGUCCCGUAACCUAGGGAGAAGGGACGCCCCCGGGGGUGGAGGAGCUCGCCUCCCGAGCCCCAGGGGGCCGCAGCGAAACGGCCCAAGCGACUGUUUAUCAAAAACACAGGACUCUGCAAAGCCGCAAGGCGACGUAUAGGGUCUGACGCCUGCCCGGUGCCGGAAGGUCACGGGGAUCCGUCAGCCGCGAGGCGAAGCGGUGAACCCAAGCCCCGGUAAACGGCGGCCGUAACUAUAACGGUCCUAAGGUAGCGAAAUUCCUUGUCGGGUAAGUUCCGACCUGCACGAAUGGCGUAACGAUCUCCACACUGUCUCGGCCAGAGACUCGGUGAAAUUGCAGUCGCGGUGAAAAUUCCGUGUACCCGCAGAAAGACGGAAAGACCCUGUGCACCUUUACUAUAGCUUGACAUUGGAUUUUGGGCCUGCAUGUGUAGGAUAGGUGGGAGGCUGUGAACCCUGUACGCCAGUAUGGGGGGAGCCAUCCUUGAAAUACCACCCUUGCAUGUUUAAGAUCCUAACUUCUUCCGGUUAUCCCGGAGAAAGACAGUGUCUGGCGGGUAGUUUGACUGGGGCGGUCGCCUCCUAAAGUGUAACGGAGGCAUGCAAAGGUUCCCUCAGCCUGAUCGGAAACCAGGCGCUGAGUGCAAACGCAUAAGGGAGCUUGACUGUAAGAGAGACAUCUCGAACAGGAACGAAAGUUGGCGUUAGUGAUCCGGUGGUCCCGAAUGGAAGGGCCAUCGCUCAUUGGAUAAAAGGUACGCCGGGGAUAACAGGCUGAUCGCAUCCAAGAGUUCACAUCGACGAUGCGGUUUGGCACCUCGAUGUCGGCUCAUCACAUCCUGGGGCUGAAGCAGGUCCCAAGGGUACGGCUGUUCGCCGUUUAAAGUGGUACGCGAGCUGGGUUUAAAACGUCGUGAGACAGUUUGGUCCCUAUCUUCUGUGGGCGAAGGAGAAUUGAGAGGGCCUGUCCCUAGUACGAGAGGACCGGGAUGGACGCACCCCUGGUGAUCCUGUUGUCGCGCCAGCGGCAUAGCAGGGUAGCUAUGUGCGGAAGGGAUAACCGCUGAAAGCAUCUAAGCGGGAAGCCUGCCUCAAGAUAAGUUCUCCCCUCGAAAGAGCUGAAGGGCCCGGGUAGACUACCCGGUCGAUAGGCUGGAGGUGUAAGCGCGGCGACGUGCUCAGCUGACCAGUACUAAUAGCCCGAGCGGCUUAUUUUU